This 253-nucleotide ribosomal RNA is filed under the name uncultured bacterium. RNAcentral describes it as "partial 16S ribosomal RNA". It matches the Rfam family "Bacterial small subunit ribosomal RNA", at positions 524 to 776 of the family's 1533-position model. The record is from RNAcentral.
UACGUAGGGGGCAAGCGUUGUCCGGAUUUAUUGGGCGUAAAGAGCGUGUAGGCGGCCUGAAAGGUCAGCUGUGAAAACUCGAGGCUUAACCUCGAGCUGUCGGCGGAAACCAUCUGGCUAGAGUCCGGAAGAGGAGAAUGGAAUUCCCGGUGUAGCGGUGAAAUGCGCAGAUAUCGGGAAGAACACCCGUGGCGAAGGCGGUUCUCUGGGACGGUACUGACGCUGAGACGCGAAAGCGCGGGGAGCGAACAGG